AAAAUCUAUCCCACUAACCCUCAUGUAUCGUAGCCAAAACCACCGACUUCGUCUCUCAUCUUCCUCAGGCGUGCGGUGGUGACGAUUGCGCUUCAUCUCAUGUCUGUAACGGACUGCGUUAUGAAUCCGUCUUUAAUCCCCUUGAUUUAUUCUCACACGAUGUGUCUUUGAUGCGCUGAUUAGAUGUGAGGGGCUGUGUAUAAAUAGAUAUCCUGCGAAAAUGAGCAACAAGAAGAAGGACUUGAUUUUACCGCAGUCAUCAGCUAUACGCAAGUCUGGAAGCAUACAACUUGCGGAAGGUCGACAAGGUGAGAUGCCAAUGCCAUUGGAGAGUAAGCAACAGUGAGUAAAAUUCUUCUGCAGUAUAGAAAGUGGCUUAUUUGUGAAGAAGCGUCGGGUCUUUCUGUUUCUGAAGAUGUAGAAUCGUUGUCCGGUUGAUAUGAUAUAUCAAGUUUCGUCGGGUGGUUUGCUAAAAAAAAUUGGCUAUUUGGUUUAUGUGGUUUGUGUCUGAUUUUUUUUUUUUGGGAACACAUGUCUGAUUUUUCAUUUGUAACGUGGUUUGCUAAACUGGUUUGUACUAAGAGUAUAGUAUUUGUCGUUUUGUUCACAAUUCAUAUUGCCAGUUUCCUGCCAUA
Long non-coding RNA from Raphanus sativus (radish), 635 nucleotides. RefSeq lists it as uncharacterized. Lineage: Eukaryota; Viridiplantae; Streptophyta; Magnoliopsida; Brassicales; Brassicaceae. The record is from RefSeq and is a predicted model, not a curated record. The transcript is spliced from 4 exons.